GAAUAAUUAGCUCAACUGGUAGAGUAUUUCGUUUACACCGAAAAUGUUAGCGGUUCGAGUCCGUUAUUAUUCA
RNAcentral lists this transfer RNA (73 nucleotides) under Phytophthora sojae. RNAcentral describes it as "tRNA-Val". It matches the Rfam family "tRNA". From Rfam's summary of the family: Transfer RNA (tRNA) molecules are approximately 80 nucleotides in length. Their secondary structure includes four short double-helical elements and three loops (D, anti-codon, and T loops). The record is from RNAcentral. Lineage: Eukaryota; Oomycota; Peronosporomycetes; Peronosporales; Peronosporaceae.